UCGGGAAUCUUGGGCAAUGGGCGAAAGCCUGACCCAGCAACGCCGCGUGAGGGAUGAAGGCCUUCGGGUCGUAAACCUCUGUCGGGAGGGAAGAAUGGUUCUGGUUCAAAUAGGGCUAGAGCCUGACGGUACCUCCAAAGGAAGCGCCGGCUAACUCCGUGCCAGCAGCCGCGGUAAUACGGAGGGCGCAAGCGUUGUUCGGAAUCAUUGGGCGUAAAGCGCGUGUAGGCGGUCGGAUAAGUCGGGUGUGAAAGCCCGGGGCUCAACCCCGGAAUUGCACUCGAUACUGUUCGACUAGAGUCCCGGAGGGGAAGGCGGAAUUCCCGGUGUAGAGGUGAAAUUCGUAGAUAUCGGGAGGAACACCAGUGGCGAAGGCGGCCUUCUGGACGGUGACUGACGCUGAGACGCGAAAGCGUGGGGAGCAAACAGGAUUAGAUACCCGCGUAGUCC
RNAcentral lists this ribosomal RNA (450 nucleotides) under uncultured prokaryote. RNAcentral's name for it is "bacterial SSU rRNA". It matches the Rfam family "Bacterial small subunit ribosomal RNA", at positions 355 to 796 of the family's 1533-position model. The record is from RNAcentral.